Molecule: ribosomal RNA, 606 nt
Filed under: uncultured bacterium
Lineage: Bacteria
Description: bacterial SSU rRNA
Rfam family: Bacterial small subunit ribosomal RNA
Source: RNAcentral
GGCGGCGCGCUUACACAUGCAAGUCGAACGAGAAAGCCCGCAAGGGUGAGUAAAGUGGCGUACGGGUGAGUAACACGUGGAUCAUCUACCUCCUGGUGGGGAAUAACUCUGGGAAACCGGAGCUAAUACCGCAUAAUCCUGCGAAGGAAAAGCAGAAAUGCGCCGGGAGAGGAGUCCGCGGCCGAUUAGCUAGUUGGUAGGGUAAUGGCCUACCAAGGCGAUGAUCGGUAGCCGGCCUGAGAGGGCACACGGCCACACCGGCACUGAAACACGGGCCAGACUCCUACGGGAGGCAGCAGUGGGGAAUCUUGCACAAUGGGGGCAACCCUGAUGCAGCGACGCCGCGUGAACGAUGAAGCCCUUCGGGGUGUAAAGUUCUUUCGGCAGGAACGAUAAUGACGGUACCUGAAGAAGAAGCUGCGGCUAACUACGUGCCAGCAGCCGCGGUAAUACGUAGGCAGCAAGCGUUGUUCGGAGUUACUGGGCGUAAAGAGUGUGUAGGCGGUGCUCUAAGUUUGGUGUGAAAUCUCCCGGCUCAACUGGGAGGGUGCGCCGAAAACUGGAGUGCUUGAGUGUGGGAGAGGAAAGCGGAAUUCCUGNUGUAGC